This 980-nucleotide ribosomal RNA is filed under the name uncultured bacterium. RNAcentral's name for it is "bacterial SSU rRNA". It matches the Rfam family "Bacterial small subunit ribosomal RNA", at positions 75 to 1087 of the family's 1533-position model. The record is from RNAcentral.
GUUGAUUUUAAAGUGGGGAGCGGCGAAGGGAGAGUAACGAGUAGAUACGUACCCAGGGGUUCGGGAUAGCUGCGGGAAACUGCAGGUAAUACCGAAUAAUGUCUCCGGACCAAAAAUUUAUUGCCCCCGGAUCGGUCUGCUUACUAUUAGCUUGUUGGUGGGGUAAAGGCCUACCAAGGCAAAGAUGGUUAGCGGGUGUGAGAGCAUGGCCCGUCUCACUGGGACUGAGACACUGCCCAGACACCUACGGGUGGCUGCAGUCGAGAAUCUUCCGCAAUGGACGAAAGUCUGACGGAGCGACGCCGCGUGCGGGAUGAAGGCCUUCGGGUUGUAAACCGCUGUCAGAGGGGAGCAAAUUUUGAGCGAUCCUCAAAGGAAGCACAGGCUAAGUUCGUGCCAGCAGCCGCGGUAAUACGAACUGUGCAAACGUUAUUCGGAAUCACUGGGCUUAAAGGGUGCGUAGGCGGGUUUAAAGGUCUGAUGUGAAAGCCCACGGCUCAACCGUGGAAUUGCGUUGGAAACCAUGAACCUUGAGGGAGUCAGAGGUAAGCGGAACUGAUGGUGGAGCGGUGAAAUGCGUUGAUAUCAUCAGGAACACCGGUGGCGAAAGCGGCUCACUGGGACUCUUCUGACGCUGAGGCACGAAAGCUAGCGGAGCGAACGGGAUUAGAUACCCCGGUAGUCCUAGCUGUAAACGAUCAGUUCUAGUCUGUGGGGACUUCCACAUCCUCUAGGACGUAGCGAAAGUGUUAAGUACUGCGCCUGGGGAGUAUGGUCGCAAGGCUGAAACUCAAAGGAAUUGACGGGGGCUCACACAAGCGGUGGAGGAUGUGGCUUAAUUCGAGGAUACGCGAAGAACCUUACGUAGACUUAACAUGCUUGGGAAUUUCUGUGAAAGCAGAAAGUGCCUUUCGGGGAGCCCUUGCGUAGGUGCUGCAUGGCUGUCGUCAGCUCGUGUCGUGAGAUAUCGGGUUAAGUCC